CCUACGGGAGGCUGCAGUCGAGAAUCAUUCACAAUGGGGGAAACCCUGAUGGUGCGACGCCGCGUGGGGGAAUGAAGGUCUUCGGAUUGUAAACCCCUGUCAUGUGGGAGCAAAUUAAAAAGAUAGUACCACAAGAGGAAGAGACGGCUAACUCUGUGCGCGAAGCGUCGGUAAUACAGAGGUGUCAAGCGUUGUCCGGAAUCACUGGGCGUAAAGGGUGCGUAGGCUGUUUCGUAAGUCGGGGGUGAAAGGCGCGGGCUCAACCGGCGGACGGCACAUGAUGCUGCGAGACUUGAGUAAUGGAGGGGGGACCGGAAUUCUCGGUGUAGCAGUGAAAUGCGUAGAUAUCGAGAGGAACACUCGUGGCGAAGGCGGGUUCCUGGACAUUAACUGACGCUGAGGCACGAAGGCCAGGGGAGCGAAAGGGAUUAGAUACCCCAGUAGUC
Molecule: ribosomal RNA, 446 nt
Filed under: uncultured bacterium
Lineage: Bacteria
Description: partial 16S ribosomal RNA
Rfam family: Bacterial small subunit ribosomal RNA
Source: RNAcentral